This 253-nucleotide ribosomal RNA is filed under the name uncultured bacterium. RNAcentral describes it as "partial 16S ribosomal RNA". It matches the Rfam family "Bacterial small subunit ribosomal RNA", at positions 524 to 776 of the family's 1533-position model. The record is from RNAcentral.
UACGGAGGGUGCGAGCGUUGUCCGGAAUCACUGGGCUUAAAGGGCGCGUAGGCGGGCUGUCAAGUCUGGGGUGAAAUCCCGCGGCUCAACCGUGGAACUGCCUCAGAUACUGACGGCCUCGAGGGAGGUAGGGGCGAGCGGAACUGUGAGUGGAGCGGUGAAAUGCGUUGAUAUUCACAGGAACUCCGGUGGCGAAGGCGGCUCGCUGGACCUUUUCUGACGCUGAGGCGCGAAAGCUAGGGGAGCAAACGGG